UUGGCUGAGCUGUGGUGCUUCCCAUUGGCUGGGCUGUUGCUAGGUGGGAGAGAAGUCUUCCUGAGUAGUAGAGUGGCUGUGCUUCCUGCGGGAGAUGCGAGCGCCCCACUUCCUGUUUGGUGUGACUGAGGCCAUGUGAUGGGCUGAGGAAAACUAACACACUACCCACACACUGAAGCCACCUUGACUGCUGCUGCCAAAGCUGGAUGGUCUUGAAGAACGACUGCGGAUUAUCGAGUGAGCGCCCCGGAGGGCAAUGCUCCGCUGGCAGGCAGCCAGCACCCCCGAAAGUGGGCAGUUGCUGCAUGAGAGCUGGGCUCAGGGUGGCCCUGAAAGAGGAAGGGGACAGGGACCCUCCCCGCGCAGACCUCCAGGUUGCCCCUCUGGUUGUCUUCCUGGUGUGGAGGAGAUGCGACUGAGAAAUGGAUC
Molecule: long non-coding RNA, 429 nt
Filed under: Equus caballus (horse)
Lineage: Eukaryota; Metazoa; Chordata; Mammalia; Perissodactyla; Equidae
Description: lncRNA (ENSECAG00000052556.1)
Source: RNAcentral